UACGAAGGGGGCGAGCGUUGUUCGGAUUUACUGGGCGUAAAGGGCGCGCAGGCGGUUCUGUUUGUCGAGUGUGAAAGCCCCGGGCUCAACCUGGGAACUGCGCUCGAAACGGCGGAACUAGAGUUCGGGAGAGGAGAGUGGAAUUCCCAGUGUAGAGGUGAAAUUCGUAGAUAUUGGGAAGAACACCGGUGGCGGAAGGCGGCUCUCUGGACCGAUACUGACGCUGAGGCGCGAAAGCGUGGGGAGCAAACAGG
RNAcentral lists this ribosomal RNA (254 nucleotides) under uncultured bacterium. Its description in RNAcentral is "partial 16S ribosomal RNA". It matches the Rfam family "Bacterial small subunit ribosomal RNA", at positions 524 to 776 of the family's 1533-position model. The record is from RNAcentral.